GAUGAAGAACGCAGCGAAAUGCGAUAAGUAAUGUGAAUUGCAGAAUUCAGUGAAUCAUCGAAUCUUUGAACGCACCUUGCACCCUUUGGCAUUCCGAAGGGUAUGCUCGUUUGAGUGUCAUUGUACUCUCACUCUCCCGAUGCUUUUGGAUCGGGAGUGGUGGACUUGGGUGUUGCUGCUUUGCUGUGGCUCGCCUCAAAUGGAGUAGUGCAACUCUUGGUUGGACAUAGUACGGCGUGAUAAGUGUCUUCGCCGGCGCCUCAUUAUAGAGGGUGGCCGAUCGGGAGCUCUGUGCUUCAAACCGUCUUCGGACAACAUCUGACAACUUGACCUCAAAUCGAGUAGGACUACCCGCUGAACUUAAGCAUAUCAAUAGGCGGAGGA
RNAcentral lists this unclassified non-coding RNA (384 nucleotides) under soil metagenome. Its description in RNAcentral is "partial contains 5.8S ribosomal RNA, internal transcribed spacer 2, and large subunit ribosomal RNA". The stretch from base 1 to 120 matches the Rfam family "5.8S ribosomal RNA", at positions 35 to 154 of the family's 154-position model. The record is from RNAcentral.